CAUAAAGCGAUUCCAAUUAUAACAAACACAACAUGCGUGAAAUUCACUGAUGCUGUAAAUAUUGUUGUUGCUUGUUAUCGACUUCAUCACUGUGAUUGGGGUGACAGUGGAGGAAGGAGCGUCUCUUCCUUUGGCUUCGGCUGUCGCGAUGUCCCCGGCGCGGUCUACAUCAAUGUGUCCUGCCCUAACAUUAGGCUCUGAUCAGACGGCACACUGGUUUCUUGUCUACACGUAGCUGAAAUGGGCAGGUGGAGUUGCCUUACUUGAUAAGGCGCAUCAUCGUUAUCAUCGUGACAACCCAUUGCCGGUACACUACUGAGCACGGGUCUCCUUUCAGAAUAAACUGGUGUUCAAUAAAGAUGUUGUAAAAAU
Maniola jurtina (meadow brown) is the source of this 372-nucleotide long non-coding RNA. RefSeq lists it as uncharacterized. NCBI's taxonomy places the organism in Eukaryota, Metazoa, Arthropoda, Insecta, Lepidoptera, Nymphalidae. The transcript has 2 exons. The record is from RefSeq and is a predicted model, not a curated record.